AAGAUUGAGCAGACAGGACUACCCCACAUAAAUUGCCAGAUAUAAAGUCUUCUUCUGUUCCGACAAACGUAACAGCUUAGCCUAAUGGCACACCCGGGGUAGACGAGUACCAGAAGGACACACCAGCCCAACUACCAUGAACCGGGGGCAGACCUUGUUCUUAACACUCCAGAUAAUUCCUCCUGCUGUGCACAACCUAGCCCAAGCCAACCCCAUCUCUGAUUUCACAACUACGCUUGCCUGCUCUACGGCUCCCGGCAACUAUUGAUCUAUCACCAUGGCUCAUAACUUUGCCAAUCUUGCACCAUGGCUCCCAUCCAUGCCAAUUUUGCCAUGUGGCUCGUGCCAACCAAGCCUCAAAAAGGCACACGACGAAACACCUAAUGAUGGCAUAAUAAUUCUAAGAGCAGCUCACUACGCUUACACCCUUACGCGAGGUCCAUAAGCAGUUUAAAGUCUCAAGCAGAUCGCUAAACAUGACCUCGCAUGCUAAGGAUUAUUUUGAUUGUCCCAGCAGUCCAGUUUUCCUCAAUUGCACUCACGACAACGACUUCCAUGUUCUCCAGUGCAAGAGGGUAAACCAAUUCCCCGACACCCAUAUGGGUUUGCUCUCCAGUGCGAGAGGGUAAACUAAUUCCCCGACCCCUAUAUGGGUCAGCUCUCCAGUGUGAGAGGAUAAACUAAUUACUCUCCAGUGCGAGGGGGUAAACCAAUUUCCCGACACCCAUAUGGGUUUGCUUUCUAGUGUAAAAGGAUAAACUAAUUGCUCUCCAGUGCGAGAUGGUAAACCAAUUUCCCGACACCCAUAUGGGUCUGCUCUCCAGUGCGAGAGGAUAAACUAAUUGCUCUCUAAUGCAAGAGGGUAAACCAAUUCCCCGACACCCUUAUGGGUCUACUCUCCAGUGCGAGAGGAUAAACUAAUUGUUCUCCAGUACGAGAGGGUAAACUAAUUGCUCUCAAGCGCGAGAGUGUAAACUAAUUGCUUACCAGCGCGAGAGGGUAAACUAAUUGCUCUCCAGUGCGAUAGGGUAAACUAAUUCCUCGACACCCAUCUGGGUAAGCUCUCCAAUGCGAGAAAGCCAUAUAGCUUAAAAAAUCGAAUGAUUGAAGAUCAACUAGGCAGCAAAUGGUCAGGGGGCAGCAACCACUUUUGCAUUUAACAAUUCACUCAUCCGACACUUCAUCUUUAGCAGCUCCGAUCUUGGUAGCUUCCUU
Molecule: long non-coding RNA, 1215 nt
Filed under: Malus domestica (apple)
Lineage: Eukaryota; Viridiplantae; Streptophyta; Magnoliopsida; Rosales; Rosaceae
Description: long non-coding RNA (MDOM_LNC011544)
Source: RNAcentral